AGCGAACGCUGGCGGCAGGCCUAACACAUGCAAGUCGAACGAACCUUUCGGGGUUAGUGGCGGACGGGUGAGUAACACGUGGGAACGUGCCUUUAGGUUCGGAAUAACUCAGGGAAACUUGUGCUAAUACCGAAUGUGCCCUUCGGGGGAAAGAUUUAUCGCCUUUAGAGCGGCCCGCGUCUGAUUAGCUAGUUGGUUGAGGUAAUGGCUCACCAAGGCGACGAUCGGUAGCUGGUCUGAGAGGAUGAUCAGCCACAUUGGGACUGAGACACGGCCCAAACUCCUACGGGAGGCAGCAGUGGGGAAUCUUGCGCAAUGGGCGAAAGCCUGACGCAGCCAUGCCGCGUGAAUGAUGAAGGUCUUAGGAUUGUAAAAUUCUUUCACCGGGGACGAUAAUGACGGUACCCGGAGAAGAAGCCCCGGCUAACUUCGUG
RNAcentral lists this ribosomal RNA (434 nucleotides) under uncultured bacterium. RNAcentral's name for it is "partial 16S ribosomal RNA". It matches the Rfam family "Bacterial small subunit ribosomal RNA", at positions 29 to 507 of the family's 1533-position model. The record is from RNAcentral.